Long non-coding RNA from Lutra lutra (Eurasian river otter), 347 nucleotides. RefSeq lists it as uncharacterized. The transcript has 3 exons. NCBI's taxonomy places the organism in Eukaryota, Metazoa, Chordata, Mammalia, Carnivora, Mustelidae. The record is from RefSeq and is a predicted model, not a curated record.
GGGAGCCCCACCAGUGCCUUCUCACAGAUGAAUGAAUAGAGGCCCAGAGAGGGUUUACCAUGAGGAUUACAAUAAUGUUUGCGAAGUGCCUCGCCCAGGACUCGGUAGAGACUUUUAUGGCUAGUUCCUGGACCCAAUUCCAACACUGGGGAGUGGGAGAGGGGUCCCCCCACAUGACACGAAGCAAUUCUCAGACACCGAGAACACAACUCAAUUCCAAUAUGAUCUCCCCGGAGAUGCAUCUGUUUCCAUGGGUUAAGGGCUCAGUCCUGUAAGACUGCCCUCUACCCCCCACUUCAGAUGCCAGGCACGACCCCCCCGGCUGUUACCAGUGCUUCUGACCAAAA